RNAcentral lists this ribosomal RNA (468 nucleotides) under Trichoderma sp. FLS-2010. RNAcentral's name for it is "eukaryotic LSU rRNA". The stretch from base 148 to 301 matches the Rfam family "5.8S ribosomal RNA". The record is from RNAcentral. Lineage: Eukaryota; Fungi; Ascomycota; Sordariomycetes; Hypocreales; Hypocreaceae.
CCAAACUGUUGCUUCGGGGGGGCCACGCCCGGGUGCGUCGCAGCCCGGGAACCAGGCGCCCGCCGGAGGGACCAACCAAACUCUUUCUGUAGUCCCCUCGCGGACGUUAUUUCUUACAGCUCUGAGCAAAAAUUCAAAAUGAAUCAAAACUUUCAACAACGGAUCUCUUGGUUCUGGCAUCGAUGAAGAACGCAGCGAAAUGCGAUAAGUAAUGUGAAUUGCAGAAUUCAGUGAAUCAUCGAAUCUUUGAACGCACAUUGCGCCCGCCAGUAUUCUGGCGGGCAUGCCUGUCCGAGCGUCAUUUCAACCCUCGAACCCCUCCGGGGGGUCGGCGUUGGGGAUCGGGAACCCCUAAGACGGGAUCCCGGCCCCGAAAUACAGUGGCGGUCUCGCCGCAGCCUCUCCUGCGCAGUAGUUUGCACAACUCGCACCGGGAGCGCGGCGCGUCCACGUCCGUAAAACACCCAA